AAAAAAAAAAGGAGCCCACAGGGCUACAAUUAACAAGCCAGAUUAAUACAAGUUGCAGGAUAGAUCUGUGUAGUUUUCUCAUCAAUAAACUGUUCAUAAUAUCAGUUAUAAUAUCAGUUCCUACACGAAUACAGUGCAAGAAAACUGUUCUGAUUUACAAACUGAUAUAGUUUCUAAGUGAAAUAACUAAACAGAAUUAAUCUCAAAACAACCUGCACUAGAAAAUAAUACCACCUUGAAAAGUUAUAAUUUUAUUUGUGUUCCAAAAGAAUUUUAUAAUCGACUCAUUUUACAUUCCACUACACAAAUAUUGGCUGUUAAUGUAACAAACCCCUUUGGAUAAUUUUUUAACAUCGAAUAAACCCAAAUCAGAGGAUUCGAUCUUGAAGAUCAGUU
Molecule: unclassified non-coding RNA, 396 nt
Filed under: Hevea brasiliensis (rubber tree)
Lineage: Eukaryota; Viridiplantae; Streptophyta; Magnoliopsida; Malpighiales; Euphorbiaceae
Source: RNAcentral